UGAUGCAAUCAUUCCAGCACUAACACACCAAAUCCCAUCAGAAUUUCGAAGUUAAGCGUGUUUGGGCGGGAGUAGUACUAGGAUGGGUGACCCCUUAGGAAGUCCUCGUGUUGCAUCCC
This is a non-coding RNA of Solanum lycopersicum (tomato), 119 nucleotides long. The record is from Rfam. NCBI's taxonomy places the organism in Eukaryota, Viridiplantae, Streptophyta, Magnoliopsida, Solanales, Solanaceae.